AGGCAGCAGGGGGAAAGGACAAGGGCGCAAGCCGACCAGCCAGCCGCGGAGGAGAAGGCCCAGGGGAAUGCCGGCGGGAAGAAAGACGGACCGCAAGAAAAGCCCCGGCAACC
This 113-nucleotide ribosomal RNA is filed under the name uncultured bacterium. RNAcentral describes it as "partial 16S ribosomal RNA". The record is from RNAcentral.